This is a long non-coding RNA of Selaginella moellendorffii, 402 nucleotides long. RefSeq lists it as uncharacterized. NCBI's taxonomy places the organism in Eukaryota, Viridiplantae, Streptophyta, Lycopodiopsida, Selaginellales, Selaginellaceae. The record is from RefSeq and is a predicted model, not a curated record. The transcript has 2 exons.
CAAGGCUCGGCUGCGUCUCGUCUGUGGGGAUUCGACUCGACGCUUUGGAGGAACUUGUCCAUGGCUGUUUUGGCCUGGAAUUCUCGCGGGAGGGUGUGACAUCUUUGUAUUUCAAGCUGAUUUCGUGCUUCUGCGCCGCAAAACAAGGGGAAGAAGCGGGCUCGAGCUGCAACCGGCAUGAUUAAAGUGACACUUGGGGUAUGGACAAACAGUUUCCUGUGCUGUGAAAGUGAGUUUGUGGGAUUUCAACAGGCCAGCUGGAUAGCAUGUUCGGUUCUCAGGUACCAAGUACUACAAAUAUCCAUGCAUGAAAAUGGUUACACAUUGUUUAGGCUCUCAUAUUGUAUAUCUUGAGGGGCCUUGGAAUAUUCUCGGAAUAUAGGUUUACACAAAUUUGAGAAA